This 1298-nucleotide ribosomal RNA is filed under the name metagenome. RNAcentral's name for it is "bacterial LSU rRNA". It matches the Rfam family "Bacterial large subunit ribosomal RNA", at positions 1636 to 2925 of the family's 2925-position model. The record is from RNAcentral.
UCAGAACCGUACCGCAAACCGACACAGGUGGGCAGGAUGAGAAUUCUAAGGCGCUUGAGAGAACUCAGGAGAAGGAACUCGGCAAAUUGAUACCGUAACUUCGGGAGAAGGUAUGCCCUUUGAUGUGAAAGACUUGCUCUGUAAGCAUCGGAGGGUCGCAGAGAAUCGGUGGCUGCGACUGUUUAUUAAAAACACAGCACUCUGCAAACACGAAAGUGGACGUAUAGGGUGUGACGCCUGCCCGGUGCUGGAAGGUUAAUUGAAGAUGUGCAAGCAUCGGAUCGAAGCCCCAGUAAACGGCGGCCGUAACAAUAACGGUCCUAAGGUAGCGAAAUUCCUUGUCGGGUAAGUUCCGACCCGCACGAAUGGCGUAACGAUGGCCACACUGUCUCCUCCUGAGACUCAGCGAAGUUGAAAUGGUUGUGAAGAUGCAAUCUACCCGCUGCUAGACGGAAAGACCCCGUGAACCUUUACUGUAGCUUUGCAUUGGACUUUGAAGUCACUUGUGUAGGAUAGGUGGGAGGCUUAGAAGCAGGAACGCUAGUUCUUGUGGAGCCGUCCUUGAAAUACCACCCUGGUGACUUUGAGGUUCUAACCCAGACCCGUAAUCCGGGUCGGGGACCGUGCAUGGUAGGCAGUUUGACUGGGGCGGUCUCCUCCCAAAGAGUAACGGAGGAGUUCGAAGGUUACCUAGGUCCGGUCGGAAAUCGGGCUGAUAGUGCAAUGGCAAAAGGUAGCUUAACUGCGAGACCGACAAGUCGAGCAGGUGCGAAAGCAGGACAUAGUGAUCCGGUGGUUCUGAAAUGGAAGGGCCAUCGCUCAACGGAUAAAAGGUACUCCGGGGAUAACAGGCUGAUUCCGCCCAAGAGUUCAUAUCGACGGCGGAGUUUGGCACCUCGAUGUCGGCUCAUCACAUCCUGGGGCUGUAGUCGGUCCCAAGGGUAUGGCUGUUCGCCAUUUAAAGUGGUACGUGAGCUGGGUUUAAAACGUCGUGAGACAGUUUGGUCCCUAUCUGCAGUGGGCGUUGGAAGUUUGACGGGGGCUGCUCCUAGUACGAGAGGACCGGAGUGGACGAACCUCUGGUGUACCGGUUGUCACGCCAGUGGCAUCGCCGGGUAGCUAAGUUCGGAAGAGAUAAGCGCUGAAAGCAUCUAAGCGCGAAACUCGCCUGAAGAUGAGACUUCCCUUGCGGCUUGACCGCACUAAAGAGACGUUCGAGACCAGGACGUUGAUAGGUCGGGUGUGGAAGUGCAGCAAUGCAUGAAGCUAACCGAUACUAAUUGCUCGUGAGGCUUGAC